Molecule: ribosomal RNA, 599 nt
Filed under: uncultured bacterium
Lineage: Bacteria
Description: SSU rRNA
Rfam family: Bacterial small subunit ribosomal RNA
Source: RNAcentral
UAGAGUUUGAUCAUGGCUCAGGAUGAACGCUGGCGGCGUGCCUAAUACAUGCAAGUCGUACGAAGGAGCUUGCUCCUUAGUGGCGAACGGGUGAGUAAUACAUAAAUAAUCUGCCUCAAUGUCUGGGAUAACUAUUGGAAACGAUAGCUAAUACCGGAUAGCUUGUUAGAAGACAUCUUCUUUCAACUAAAGGAGCGUUCGCUCCGCUUUGAGAUGAGUUUAUGGCGCAUUAGUUAGUUGGCGGGGUAAUGGCCCACCAAGACGAUGAUGCGUAGCCGAUCUGAGAGGAUGACCGGCCACACUGGGACUGAGACACGGCCCAGACUCCUACGGGAGGCAGCAGUAGGGAAUUUUCGGCAAUGGGCGAAAGCCUGACCGAGCAACGCCGCGUGAGUGAUGAAGGCCUUCGGGUUGUAAAGCUCUGUUGUUAGGGAAGAAUGAUCAGGAUAGGAAAUGAUCUUGAAGUGACGGUACCUAACCAGAAAGCCACGGCUAACUACGUGCCAGCAGCCGCGGUAAUACGUAGGUGGCAAGCGUUAUCCGGAAUUAUUGGGCGUAAAGGGUGCGUAGGCGGUUUCUUAAGUCUUAUGUGAAAUCUC